AUACGGAGGAUCCGAGCGUUAUCCGGAUUUAUUGGGUUUAAAGGGUGCGCAGGCGGCCAUUUAAGUUAGCGGUUAAAUCGUGGGGCUCAACCCCAUUCUGCCGUUGAUACUGGGUGGCUUGAUUGCGGUCGAGGUUGGCGGAAUUCGUUGUGUAGCGGUGAAAUGCAUAGAUAUGACGAAGAACACCGAUUGCGUAGGCAGCUGACCAGACCGCAAAUGACGCUCAUGCACGAAAGUGCGGGGAUCGAACAGGAUUAGAUACCCUGGUAGUCCGCACAGUAAACGAUGAAUACUUGUUUUCGGCGAUAUAAUGUCGGAGGCAAAGCGAAAGCGAUAAGUAUUCCACCUGGGGAGUACGCCGGCAACGGUGAAACUCAAAUGAAUUGGCGGGG
Molecule: ribosomal RNA, 392 nt
Filed under: uncultured bacterium
Lineage: Bacteria
Description: partial 16S ribosomal RNA
Rfam family: Bacterial small subunit ribosomal RNA
Source: RNAcentral